Molecule: transfer RNA, 87 nt
Filed under: Alicyclobacillus vulcanalis
Lineage: Bacteria; Bacillati; Bacillota; Bacilli; Caryophanales; Alicyclobacillaceae
Also listed under: 1 other name
Description: tRNA_Ser_CGA
Rfam family: tRNA
About the family: Transfer RNA (tRNA) molecules are approximately 80 nucleotides in length.
Source: RNAcentral
GGAGAGAUGUCUGAGUGGUCGAAAGAGCCCGCCUCGAAAGCGGGUAGGUCCGCAAGGGCCUCGUGGGUUCGAAUCCCACUCUCUCCG